CUACGGGAGGCACCAGUAGGGAAUCUUCGGCAAUGGGGGCAACCCUGACCGAGCAACGCCGCGUGAGUGAAGAAGGUUUUCGGAUCGUAAAGCUCUGUUGUAAGAGAAGAACGAGUGUGAGAGUGGAAAGUUCACACUGUGACGGUAACUUACCAGAAAGGGACGGCUAACUACGUGCCAGCAGCCGCGGUAAUACGUAGGUCCCGAGCGUUAUCCGGAUUUAUUGGGUGUAAAGCGAGCGCAGGCGGUUAGAUAAGUCGGAAGUUAAAGGCUGUGGCUUAACCAUAGUACGCUUUGGAAACUGUUUAACUUGAGUGCAGAAGGGGAGAGUGGAAUUCCAUGUGUAGCGGUGAAAUGCGUAGAUAUAUGGAGGAACACCGGUGGCGAAAGCGGCUCUCUGGUCUGUAACUGACGCUGAGGCUCGAAAGCGUGGGGAGCAAACAGGAUUAGAUACCCGGGUAGUC
RNAcentral lists this ribosomal RNA (464 nucleotides) under uncultured bacterium. RNAcentral describes it as "partial 16S ribosomal RNA". It matches the Rfam family "Bacterial small subunit ribosomal RNA", at positions 339 to 795 of the family's 1533-position model. The record is from RNAcentral.